Peromyscus eremicus (cactus mouse) is the source of this 182-nucleotide small nuclear RNA. RefSeq annotates it as U2 spliceosomal RNA. The record is from RefSeq and is a predicted model, not a curated record. The transcript has a single exon. Lineage: Eukaryota; Metazoa; Chordata; Mammalia; Rodentia; Cricetidae.
AUUGCUUCUCUGCCUUCUGGCUAAGAUCAAGUGUAGUAUCUGUUCUUACCAGUUUGAUAUCUGAUACGUCCUCUAUUUGAGGACAAUAUAGUAAACGGAUAUUUGGACCUGGGAGUUGGAAUAGGAGCGUGCUCUGUCCCCUCUGCAUGACCUGGUAUUGCAGUACCUCCAGGAUGCCCUCC